GCUAAUCCCUUUUGGACACUGUGGGGUCCCUCCUCCUCAGAACCACUCGUGCUCGUAACCUCUGUGGUCUCUGAGGGCAGAACAUCCACCUGCAGGGCUUUUAGGAUCAUCCUUUUUUUCUGAGACACGCAGCGACUCGCUGCCAGCAGAGUGUGCGGAGCCCUCCCCUCAGCCCAGCUUUCAAGCCUCGUUGGAUCCAUACGCUUCGAGUGAUCAGGGUGAUUUUUCUCCUGGUUUCUGCACAGGUCUGACUUGUAGCUGUCUUGUCCACGCAAUGAUGGCCAUAUGCUCUUGGGUGCCAGCAGCAGAAAGAGGGAAAAGACUUAUGUUCUUCAGGGAACUGUGUCCGUCGUUAGCACAGCUGCCACCGUAACAGUACAGGGCUGAUUCUGCCUCUUCUGUCAGUUGUACUUACAUUUUUGUGUGCUUUUCUGCUGAUAAAAUUCCACUGACGUCACCCAUAGCAAACCUUCAUGCUUGAUAAAUGUGUGAACAAGAAAGGAAUAAGGCUCACACUAAACAAACAAAUGUCAAUCAUAAAGGAAUAAGCAGGGUUUUCAGCCUGCUCAGAGAAAAGACCUGAAGGACAGGAGUAGGACCUCCCAGGCUUGGCCUGAAAUGGAUCUGAAUUGAUAUUUUCAGGAGUGCUCAUCUACAGCAGGUUCUCCUUUCAAUAGGAUGAAAGAAAGAAAAAAAUAACUCUCUGGGGGUUUUCUUUACAUUGCAUACCUGAAACCUGAAUAAAAAGCUAGACAUUAAAA
Molecule: long non-coding RNA, 761 nt
Organism: Pipra filicauda (Wire-tailed manakin)
Lineage: Eukaryota; Metazoa; Chordata; Aves; Passeriformes; Pipridae
Exons: 4
Source: RefSeq, a predicted model, not a curated record